CAAGGAAAAUGGUCAAGGAAAAUUUGAUCAAAUUACCAAAGUAAUAUUGACGUAAUAUGACCUAAUGAUAAAGUAGGCGAAAAAAGCAUGUUUGUGUGUCAUCAAGCAGCAUAUCCUCGCCUGCAUCGUGGUUGGUGUUAUAAUGUUCGACGAGCCCCGUGGCAUUACCCUCUCAGGAUCGGCGAAACUUGGUCGGAUUUCUUUACCAGAACUUGUCGUCGUGCAUGGGGAACUACGUGAACGUUCCGCCCGGGGUUUUUGGAUCGUAGAAUGGCUGCGAGGGACCUAUCUUCCGUAUCUCCCGUUCCUUGCUGGGAUAGUUGUAGCCAGAAUUGCUCGUCAUGUGUGCCGUGGCGUCCGGUCCAAAUGGCGCGCUUUAUGUCCACAUGGAAGACUAUUUCGCUAUAGGCCCGAAGGCCCGAAGGCCCCUUCAAUGGACGAAGAAACGAGUGAUUCCAAAGCCCAAUUAGGGCAUGAUUUUGUGGAUGUGCAGAAAUGACCAGUUCACAUGCUCGUCGAUGAGAUGGGGACCCAGGUCCGAGUUCGAAAGCAACUGUCCGGGUUUCACUUGUUUCGUCCCGUAGACAUUUCACUAUGUAACGUAUUAGCUGAAGCUCAGUACAAACAGUAGCUUAUGCGCCACUUCCUCAAAUAAGGAAGACUGCUGAUGCUAUUUUGGGAUCCCGGCUAUGAGACCUUCUUCUAGGGCGAGUCUUUCAAUGGC
Armigeres subalbatus is the source of this 724-nucleotide long non-coding RNA. RefSeq lists it as uncharacterized. The record is from RefSeq and is a predicted model, not a curated record. The transcript has 3 exons. Lineage: Eukaryota; Metazoa; Arthropoda; Insecta; Diptera; Culicidae.